Molecule: ribosomal RNA, 457 nt
Filed under: uncultured organism
Description: partial 16S ribosomal RNA
Rfam family: Bacterial small subunit ribosomal RNA
Source: RNAcentral
UACACUCCUACGGGAGGCAGCAGUGGGGAAUAUUGCACAAUGGGCGGAAGCCUGAUGCAGCAACGCCGCGUGCGGGAUGACGGCCUUCGGGUUGUAAACCGCUUUCGCCUGUGACGAAGCGUGAGUGACGGUAAUGGGUAAAGAAGCACCGGCUAACUACGUGCCAGCAGCCGCGGUGAUACGUAGGGUGCGAGCGUUGUCCGGAUUUAUUGGGCGUAAAGGGCUCGUAGGUGGUUGAUCGCGUCGGAAGUGUAAUCUUGGGGCUUAACCCUGAGCGUGCUUUCGAUACGGGUUGACUUGAGGAAGGUAGGGGAGAAUGGAAUUCCUGGUGGAGCGGUGGAAUGCGCAGAUAUCAGGAGGAACACCAGUGGCGAAGGCGGUUCUCUGGGCCUUUCCUGACGCUGAGGAGCGAAAGCGUGGGGAGCGAACAGGCUUAGAUACCCUAGUAGUCCCAUGA